Molecule: transfer RNA, 86 nt
Filed under: SAR202 cluster bacterium AC-409-J13_OGT_754m
Lineage: Bacteria; Bacillati; Chloroflexota; Dehalococcoidia
Description: tRNA-Leu
Rfam family: tRNA
About the family: Transfer RNA (tRNA) molecules are approximately 80 nucleotides in length. Their secondary structure includes four short double-helical elements and three loops (D, anti-codon, and T loops).
Source: RNAcentral
GCCGGGGUGGCGGAACGGCAGACGCGCUACGUUCAGGGCGUAGUGCCCGCUAGGGCGUGUGGGUUCGAAUCCCACCCUCGGCACCA